AAACAGAAUGUGUUCAAGGAAAGCUUCAAAUCUGGCCAUAGAGCAAAUGAAGAUGUUCACUUGAUAGUGAGGAAAUCUCCAGUCCUCGAUUUCUGCCUCUCGAACUCGGCUCGCAAGGAAAUUUCAACAUUGUCGAGGAAGCAUCAUUGUAUCAGUGAAGUUUCGGUUCAGUUCUUAUCCUCAAGACAGUGAGCCUUCGCUCUCAAUUUUUAGAUUUGAUACAUUGAUUUCAAUAAAUUUCUUGAUUUCUAAUUUAUCUUAUUUGAAAUAUUGCAUUCCAGUAUAAAAAUUGUUAAUUUCUGUGUUUGAUAUUAAAGAUUUAGAUUUUGUAACAAUUUUAUCUGAUGUAAAAAUGUGGAACAGCACAAUUUCAUUAAGGAAACAAGUCACCAAUUCCUUUGUUGUUUUUCAGCUAUGUUAACUCACAAUUUCAUUAUUCUUUUUUGUUUUCCUCAAAGAUGUUUGGUUCAUAGAAUUGUACAGCAUUUGAGGAUAACAGAGCAUUUAACAAUUCUUCCAAAUUUGAGUUUGAAUUCCCAAACGAGGCACAACUCUUGAUAAAACAAUGUAACCAAGAACAAUAAAAUGGCUUCAUCAUCCACAAAAUAAAAAUUCAAUGAUAUGAUCAAUUUUUUUUAAUAUUAUUUCACCGUUAUAUUAAUUUUAUUUUUUUUUUUACGUCCAAUGCCCAUUUACAAACGAGUAAUAGUGUGAUAAGUAAAUUUGUUUAUCUUAUCAUCAUCUUUACAUUAGUGGAAUGGAUCCCAAUCAUUAAUUCAAUUUGUUUUUAUGGGAUGAUUGAUAGUGGUAU
Molecule: non-coding RNA, 811 nt
Organism: Camellia sinensis
Lineage: Eukaryota; Viridiplantae; Streptophyta; Magnoliopsida; Ericales; Theaceae
Source: RefSeq, a predicted model, not a curated record